Molecule: unclassified non-coding RNA, 244 nt
Filed under: Glomus sp.
Lineage: Eukaryota; Fungi; Glomeromycota; Glomeromycetes; Glomerales; Glomeraceae
Description: partial contains 5.8S ribosomal RNA and internal transcribed spacer 2
Rfam family: 5.8S ribosomal RNA (bases 1-71)
Source: RNAcentral
GUGAAUCAUCGAAUUUUUGAACGCAAAUUGCACUUUCUGGUAUUCCGGAAAGUAUGCCUGUUUGAGGGUCAGUUAAAUAAAAAUCGGUGUUGAUGCUGUUUUUCGUGGUGCCGCGUUGGAAUUGAGUUGUCUUAUCUUCGGUUAAGUGACUUAAAAUUUUUGCAUGAUUUUCGAACGUAUUUAAAUCGCUUCCGUACGUUUGAGAUAUAGAAUGCUUAUUCGGUUCGGUCAUUUCCAUGAUUAG